This 629-nucleotide ribosomal RNA is filed under the name uncultured soil bacterium. RNAcentral's name for it is "bacterial SSU rRNA". It matches the Rfam family "Bacterial small subunit ribosomal RNA", at positions 35 to 708 of the family's 1533-position model. The record is from RNAcentral.
GCUGGCGGCAGGCCUAACACAUGCAAGUCGAGCGGCCGUAGCAAUACGGCAGCGGCASACGGGAGAGUAACACGUGGGAACGCGCCCUUCGGUCCGGGAUAACCCAGGGAAACUUGGGCUAAUACCGGAUACGCCCUUACGGGGAAAGAUUUAUUGCCGAAGGAACGGCCCGCGUCCGAUUAGCUAGUUGGUGAGGUAACGGCUCACCAAGGCGACGAUCGGUAGCUGGUCUGAGAGGAUGACCAGCCUCACUGGGACUGAGACACGGCCCAGACUCCUACGGGAGGCAGCAGUGGGGAAUAUUGGACAAUGGGCGCAAGCCUGAUCCAGCCAUGCCGCGUGGGUGAUGAAGGCCCUAGGGUUGUAAAGCCCUUUCAGCGGGGAAGAUAAUGACGGUACCCGCAGAAGAAGCCCCGGCUAACUUCGUGCCAGCAGCCGCGGUAAUACGAAGGGGGCUAGCGUUGCUCGGAAUUACUGGGCGUAAAGCGCACGUAGGCGGCUUUCUAAGUCGGGGGUGAAAUCCUGGAGCUCAACUCCAGAACUGCCUUCGAUACUGGAGAGCUCGAGUCCGGGAGAGGUGAGUGGAACUGCGAGUGUAGAGGUGAAAUUCGUAGAUAUUCGCAAGAACA